Molecule: ribosomal RNA, 380 nt
Filed under: uncultured bacterium
Lineage: Bacteria
Description: bacterial SSU rRNA
Rfam family: Bacterial small subunit ribosomal RNA
Source: RNAcentral
GACGAACGCUGGCGGCGUGCUUAACACAUGCAAGUCGAACGAUGAAGCCUUUCGGGGUGGAUUAGUGGCGAACGGGUGAGUAACACGUGGGUAAUCUGCCCUGCACUCUGGGAUAAGCCCGGGAAACUGGGUCUAAUACCGGAUAUGACUUUCUUACGCAUGUAGGAAGGUGGAAAGUUCCGGCGGUGCAGGAUGAACCCGCGGCCUAUCAGCUUGUUGGUGGGGUAAUGGCCUACCAAGGCGACGACGGGUAGCCGGCCUGAGAGGGCGACCGGUCACACUGGGACUGAGACACGGCCCAGACUCCUACGGGAGGCAGCAGUGGGGAAUAUUGCACAAUGGGCGAAAGCCUGAUGCAGCGACGCCGCGUGAGGGAUGAC